RNAcentral lists this ribosomal RNA (828 nucleotides) under uncultured Acidobacteriota bacterium. Its description in RNAcentral is "bacterial SSU rRNA". It matches the Rfam family "Bacterial small subunit ribosomal RNA", at positions 58 to 863 of the family's 1533-position model. The record is from RNAcentral. Lineage: Bacteria; Pseudomonadati; Acidobacteriota.
CAAGUCGAACGCGAAAGUGGAGCAAUCCAUGAGUAGAGUGGCAAACGGGUGAGUAACGCGUGGGUGACCUGCCUUCGAGUGGGGGAUAACGUUCCGAAAGGGACGCUAAUACCGCAUGACAUCCGGCCUUUGAAGAGGCGGAGAUCAAAGCUGGGGAUCGCAAGACCUAGCGCUCGAUGAGGGGCCCGCGUCUGAUUAGCUAGUUGGUGGGGUAACGGCUCACCAAGGCAACGAUCAGUAUCCGGCCUGAGAGGGCGGACGGACACACUGGGACUGAGACACGGCCCAGACUCCUACGGGAGGCAGCAGUGGGGAAUUGUUCGCAAUGGGCGCAAGCCUGACGACGCAACGCCGCGUGGAGGAUGAAGAUCUUCGGGUCGUAAACUCCUUUCGAUCGAGACGAACAGCCUUCGGGUAAACAAUCCGGAGGUCUGACGGUACCGAGAGAAGAAGCCCCGGCUAACUCCGUGCCAGCAGCCGCGGUAAUACGGGGGGGGCAAGCGUUGUUCGGAAUUACUGGGCGUAAAGGGCUCGUAGGCGGCCAACUAAGUCAGACGUGAAAUCCCUCGGCUUAACCGGGGAACUGCGUCUGAUACUGGAUGGCUUGAGUUUGGGAGAGGGAUGCGGAAUUCCAGGUGUAGCGGUGAAAUGCGUAGAUAUCUGGAGGAACACCGGUGGCGAAGGCGGCAUCCUGGACCAACACUGACGCUGAGUGAGCGAAAGCCAGGGGAGCAAACGGGAUUAGAUACCCCGGUAGUCCUGGCCCUAAACGAUGAAUGCUUGGUGUGGCGGGUAUCGAUCCCUGCCGUGCCGAAGCUAACGCAUUAA